UAGGGAAUAUUGGGCAAUGGAGGGAACUCUGACCCAGCCAUGCCGCGUGCAGGAUGAAGGCGUUAUGCGUUGUAAACUGCUUUUUAUAUAGGAAGAAAUAGUCCUUGCGAGGAAAGUUGACGGUACUAUAUGAAUAAGCACCGGCUAACUCCGUGCCAGCAGCCGCGGUAAUACGGAGGGUGCAAGCGUUGUCCGGAUUUAUUGGGUUUAAAGGGUGCGUAGGCGGUUUAUUAAGUCAGUGGUGAAAGACGGCCGCUCAACGAUUGCAGUGCCAUUGAUACUGGUAGACUUGAGUAUGAUUGAGGUAGCUGGAAUGGAUAGUGUAGCGGUGAAAUGCAUAGAUAUUAUCCAGAACACCAAUUGCGUAGGCAAGUUACUAAGUCAUAACUGACGCUGAGGCACGAAAGUGUGGGUAUCAAACAGGAUUAGAUACCCCCGUAGUCCCUGAGCGGGCUGGCAAGGCGCAU
Molecule: ribosomal RNA, 467 nt
Filed under: uncultured bacterium
Lineage: Bacteria
Description: bacterial SSU rRNA
Rfam family: Bacterial small subunit ribosomal RNA
Source: RNAcentral